CUUCAGAUGGCUGCAACCCUGGCCAUCAGCCUGACUACGAGUCCAGAAGAGACCCUGAGCCGGAACCCCAGCCAAGCUCCUCCCAGAUCCCUGGCCCUCUGAAAGGUCCCUCCAUGCUGAAGGCCAUCUCCCCUCACCACCCAAGGAAAAGUGACCUCGGGAAUUCUGGCAGAUCCCACACAGACAGGACGAUGGAAAAAGGAGCCAUGGUCGAUGGUGUCAGCAUGGAGUUGAAUUGUGGGACACUCCACUGGUAUCAGAAAACUGCUUGGUGGCGAUGGAAAAAAACCCACACACAUCAGAACUGGUGUCAGAAUCGGAC
This is a long non-coding RNA of Leopardus geoffroyi (Geoffroy's cat), 322 nucleotides long. RefSeq lists it as uncharacterized. The transcript has 3 exons. The record is from RefSeq and is a predicted model, not a curated record. Lineage: Eukaryota; Metazoa; Chordata; Mammalia; Carnivora; Felidae.